UACGUAGGGUGCGAGCGUUGUCCGGAAUUACUGGGCGUAAAGAGCUCGUAGGUGGUUUGUCGCGUUGUUCGUGAAAACUCACAGCUCAACUGUGGGCGUGCGGGCGAUACGGGCAGACUGGAGUACUGCAGGGGAGACUGGAAUUCCUGGUGUAGCGGUGGAAUGCGCAGAUAUCAGGAGGAGCACCGGUGGCGAAGGCGGUUCUCUGGGCAUUACCUGACGCUGAGGAGCGAAAGUGUGGGGAGCGAACAGG
Molecule: ribosomal RNA, 253 nt
Filed under: uncultured bacterium
Lineage: Bacteria
Description: partial 16S ribosomal RNA
Rfam family: Bacterial small subunit ribosomal RNA
Source: RNAcentral